CGUAAGCUCAAUAAAUUCCAUAAAUUCUUCAGUAAAUUCCAUACGUUCUGCUUCUACCCUUUAAUGAUUAGAUAAAGUGACUUGAAGUUCACCCCCAAAACAUGUGUAGGGGGACGCCACGCUGCAUGAGCUCGUAGAAGGUGAAGCCACCUAGGAGGCAAGAGGACACUGGUGAUGUCACAGGGUUGGAAGAGAGCAAAGUGUGCAAGGAGAAGAAGAGGAAGGCAACAGGCUCAUCAAGCACACCGGGAUCCUCAUUUGGCAACAGUGAGAGGAACUCCAAGAUGACCUCCAGGUCGGACUGGCAGGACUCCUGGCUCGCCAUCCUGGACCUCUGUGCUUGCGUCUGGGCCUGAGCUGAGUGGAGCUGCUAUUAUACCCCUGCGGCGGCGCUGGCUCUUCAUAACUCACGGCUCUGUGCUCCACAGGAACAAUGAGCCGCCGCACAGCUCCAGUGUGACGAUUAACGCCGCGUCCCAGCGCUGACCACAUCCUCCCCGCUGCGGCAGAUAAGCCCGGGCCCGAGAGCAACGUCCGCGCUGCAGGAAAACAACACUUGCUGCCACAUUUUUCCUCUCAGGAUGUGUCUUCAUGUCUCGUGUUGUAACUGCUGCAGUAUUUCACCGCCGCAGCGCUGACAACUGCGCGCGACUGUUGAGCUCCCGCCGAACAAAACAACUCCACUUUUUCGACUCCAGUGACGGACCUGCACUGACCCACAUUAUCGCAGGCCACAGUUUAGAUAUGAGAAGUGCUGAGUCAACAGCUUUAGUCUCGUCAUCUGUGAUCUGUGCAUCUAGUCAUGAAGUCGUACUGCGACAGGUUAAAAAAGUAACUUUGAAAGGAGGGUGUGGUGAAAUAGCAGGAGGAAAACACAAGCUCAGACAGAAACGGCCUCCGAAUGCUGGCGCUGGUGUCGGGGCUCUUCCACAGUCACGUGAUGAUGUGGAGGCCCGGACUCCCAGAAUGCACCGCGCCAGGCGCCAGAGCGUCCCUCAGCCUCAGCACUUCAUAGCGCUUGUUUGAGAUGAGUCCCUUUGAGAUUUGUUUUUAUUUUAUUUUAUUUGUUUGAGGUAACACUUUUAUGACGGUUGUUCCUGAGAGAAGCCGCUGCGUGCGCGUCACAGUGCCAGGCUUCAGACAUGUGACUUACUUCAUCCUGAGACCACAUGAUGUCGUCCACACCUCUGAGUUCAUCUGUCAAACCAAGUAAAGGCCCAUCGGAACAACACCAUUCCUGACCAAAGAACUUGUGAAAUACAAAGGACGAUUAGUUUUGUGGGUCGACUGAAGCAGGACAAGAGCCAGAAGAUGCUAGAGAGAAACCUGCUGAGCUCCUCAGCGAGGUUGGAAAAACCCUCCUCUAAACUUUAAAGUAAAGCGAUGAAACCAGCCGUGUACUGCGUUACGACCCGGGACAUGAACUGUAACAGAAUUUCUCUUCAUCUUAGAGAGGACAAGUGGCUCCUGACGCUCACCCUGACACUUCCUGUGCUGCAGGAGCUCGAGCCAGCAGGAACUGGAGCUCUGGGUUCUGAAGCAACACGUCUGUGAGGAAAUGUGAGGCAUGUUUGCAACCAAGGUGCACUUCUCCACACCACCAUCAACUUGCUUGCAGAAACUUCAGUGUUUCCCACUCAGAUGUGUUUAGAAAUGCUUUUUAGUUUUGGGAUUUUUUGGAAUUAGUGAAUUUCCAAACUUGCGUUUUCAACUUUUAAACCAUUUUCAUCUCUUAAACCAGCGGUUUUCAACCUCUUUCAAGCCAUACUUUGUUCAUUGACAAAGUCCAGAGGCUCACCACCAGAGGAACCUCGGCCAAAAUGUAAUGGUGCUUAGUUGAAAGUCCUGUAGAAAAUCCCUUUGGUCCCUUUUUUGUGAAAAUUUUGUGGUAUUUGCAGGAACAAAUUGCAGAAAACCUAUAUAUUUAAAAGUGUCUCCAGAAAGGGCUGGGCAAUAUGGCAAAUUGACGUCAUGAAACAAUUGUUUAUUUUAAAUAAUAAUUGUAUUUCCUCUGCUUUGGAGAGUUUCCAGACAAACCUUUAACAUUCUUUGCCUCAGCUUCAUAACAACAGUGAUUCUUUCUCCCUUCACAUUGUCGAGCGCAUUUAUUUGGUUCUGCAUUUAGUUUUUUAUGGGACAGCUGAAAAAAAUAUUGGCUGAAAAACAGAAUAUAGGCAUUGAUAAAAACGAAUAUUGGCUCAAAAAAUAAUAUAGAAAUAUUUUUUAUUUAUAAUUUUAAUACAAUUCUAGUUUUCAACCUCAAUUCAAAAACGUUUCAGCCAAUAUUCCAUUUUUCAAUUGCUAUAUUCUUUUUGUCAGCCAAUAUAUUUUUUUUCAAUGCCAAUGUAAGCUGUCCCUGUUUUAGCCCCAUAGUUUAUAGCCAACUUUUAAACGACGCAGCAAACUGUGCGAGUUGUUGCUGGUGGUGACGACUAAGAGCAGCACCUUCCGUGGUCACCUCUGAUGCUGAUGAAACCUCUGUUUCCUGCCUGCUGGCUUCCACUUUUCCCUGCAGAGGGCGCAAGAGAGCCUCUAGGAGAGGGGACACCCUGGACAGGCAUCUGCAGUCACCCAGGUAGUUUGUGAUGAGUCCAGUCUCCAUCUACACCUUUAUAUCAGCAGUAAUUCAGAGCCCGACUCUCUGGUGUCAGUAUGAAUGAGAAGUGAGAAUGUUCAGAAGUCACUGCUGCUUUUUGUACAUGUAUUUUGUCCAUAUUGCUGCUGAGACUUGAGGAAGAAGUCGUUCAUUCAGUUGAAAACUGAUCUGCUUAUCGUCUCACACAUUCACAUAGAAGCUUCAGAAUAGAUAAAAACGUUUAUUAUAUGUGUAUUUAACAAGUUUUCAAAAUGGCCGUCUCACUGGAAAGAUCUGUUCUACCUCGUAACAAGGACUACAAAAAUGGCCGACACCUCAGCUGGAAACGCGUAACAUCACUCUGACUCUCGACUGAGACUCUGAAGUGAGGCGCUUCUGUGGAGGUGUUGUCUGCUUCUCACUUCACAUGAUGGUCCUCAUUCCUCCAAGAGGAGUUAGCUGGUGCUUCACUGCAUGGCGGAAUCAGGUCUUCACCUGAGUGACAGCAGCUCCAGAGGAAGAUGAUGGACAGAUUCUGACAUCAAAGUUCAGAUCCAGGACCAGAGGUUGGAGAUGUCUCCUGUCACGGCUGUGAAGACAGAGCUGGGUGGAACCUGCUGCAGCUGGAAGAAGCACCUUCAUCUUCAGGGGAGAGGAUGUCCCUCCCUGACUUGAGUUCAUGUUGGUUGCUGCUCCAAACGCUCAGGACUUUUGAAAAGCAGAAGCAGUGUGAGCCCCGGGACACAUGGACUGCACACACGACACCGAGGGAGGUUUCACCAGUGGUGUUUAAACAGAGGCUCAUGAUGGACCUGGGUGCUCCAGCUCCAGAGCGGUCUGCAGGAGAGACAAACCCAUGUCCCUCCCCAUCACCAGCACUCUUCCUCCUCUGUCAGGAACAUGCAGAACUGCAAUGAAGAAGUGUUCAACCUGAAUGACUCCUCAAUGGAGCAGCAAGCUUCUGUCAGUGGCAGUUCAAGCUCCAUCUCCUCACUCUGGAGGUGGCUCUGAACAUGGAGAAGCUUGAAGCGACACAGGAACAAUCUCUCAUCUCUCAGAGGCAAGAGGCGUACAGACAGACACAGAUAGACAGUUAAAAGGUGACAGUACCACGACAACAAUGACACAGUUUCUAACAGACACGUCUCCUCCCUUCGGCACAGGCGUCUCCUCACAGCUUGGUGGUGGUGAAGCUGGUGGCCAGGUCGUAGUCCUCCUGCAGCUGGUAGUGGCUGUACCAGCUGUGCCAGUCCGGACCUGCCGACCCACAGUAGCCGUGCUGAGCCGGGCUCUCUUGCAGCGGGUGUGCCUCCUCUUGGGCGGCUGGGUAGGACAGCGCCGCUGCCGCCGCUCCCCCGCCGGAGCCCAGCCGGUGCAGGAUCUCGGCGUUGAACUGGUAA
Molecule: long non-coding RNA, 3975 nt
Organism: Synchiropus splendidus (mandarinfish)
Lineage: Eukaryota; Metazoa; Chordata; Actinopteri; Syngnathiformes; Callionymidae
Exons: 3
Source: RefSeq, a predicted model, not a curated record